CCUACGGGAGGCAGCAGUGGGGAAUCUUGCGCAAUGGGCGAAAGCCUGACGCAGCAACGCCGCGUGCGGGAUGAAGGCCUUCGGGUUGUAAACCGCUUUUAACAGGAACGAAAAUGACGGUACCUGUAGAAUAAGGUGCGGCCAACUACGUGCCAGCAGCCGCGGUGACACGUAGGCACCAAGCGUUGUCCGGAUUUAUUGGGCGUAAAGAGCUCGUAGGCGGUUCGAUAAGUCGGGUGUGAAAACUCUGGGCUUAACCCAGAGACGCCACUCGAUACUAUUGUGACUAGAGUUCGGUAGGGGAGCGGGGAAUUCCUAGUGUAGCGGUGAAAUGCGCAGAUAUUAGGAGGAACACCGGUGGCGAAGGCGCCGCUCUGGGCCGAAACUGACGCUGAGGAGCGAAAGCGUGGGUAGCAAACAGGAUUAGAUACCCUGGUAGUCCACGCCGUAAACGGUGGGCACUAGGUGUGGGCUCCAACCAACGGAGUCCGCGCCGUCGCUAACGCAUUAAGUGCCCCGCCUGGGGAGUACGGCCGCAAGGUUAAACUAAAUGAAUUGACGG
Molecule: ribosomal RNA, 562 nt
Filed under: uncultured bacterium
Lineage: Bacteria
Description: bacterial SSU rRNA
Rfam family: Bacterial small subunit ribosomal RNA
Source: RNAcentral